Molecule: long non-coding RNA, 351 nt
Organism: Erigeron canadensis
Lineage: Eukaryota; Viridiplantae; Streptophyta; Magnoliopsida; Asterales; Asteraceae
Exons: 3
Source: RefSeq, a predicted model, not a curated record
UCGACUUGCUGCCUAAAGCUGAUUCGUUCACCCUGUUAAACUCCAUGUGAGUCUUGCAUCAUUUUUUAAAGAAUUCCUGCUGAAGCUGAUGCAUAGUUCACCCCUUGCAUUAUGUUUCUUCCUGUAGCAUCAGGACUUGCAUAGGCUGGAAGAAGUGCAAGUCCCAACAAAUCCCCUGAUGAGACCAAUAAAUAAGUAUCACACACAAGGGUUUCUUUCAAGGACUGUAGGAGCAAACAAUGAGUUACCAACCAAGGUAGUCGAUGAUGGUCUUGCCAUUACUAAAACGACCAGAAGCAAAACCACCAAAAUCCACACCGUAUGGAUUGUAGUUUGCUUUUGCAAGGGAGU